RNAcentral lists this ribosomal RNA (492 nucleotides) under uncultured bacterium. RNAcentral describes it as "partial 16S ribosomal RNA". It matches the Rfam family "Bacterial small subunit ribosomal RNA", at positions 29 to 507 of the family's 1533-position model. The record is from RNAcentral.
AGUGAACGCUGGCGGUAUGCCUAACGCAUGCAAGUCGAACGGCAGCACAGUAAGAGCUUGCUCUUACGGGUGGAGAGUGGCGGACGGGUGCGGAAUACACCGGAAUCUACUUUUUAGUGGGGGAUAACGUAUGGAAACUUACGCUAAUACCGCAUACGACAUACGGGUGAAAGCAGGGGAUCUUCGGACCUUGCGCGAUUGAAUGAGCCGAUGUCGGAUUAGCUAGUUGGCGGGGUAAAGGCCCACCAAGGCGACGAUCCGUAGCUGGUCUGAGAGGAUGAUCAGCCACACUGGAACUGAGACACGGUCCAGACUCCUACGGGAGGCAGCAGUGGGGAAUAUUGGACAAUGGGCGCAAGCCUGAUCCAGCCAUACCGCGUGGGUGAAGAAGGCCUUCGGGUUGUAAAGCCCUUUUGUUGGGAAAGAAAAGCAGCAGGUUAAUACCCCGCUGUUAUGACGGUACCCAAAGAAUAAGCACCGGCUAACUUCGUG